This 508-nucleotide ribosomal RNA is filed under the name uncultured bacterium. RNAcentral's name for it is "bacterial SSU rRNA". It matches the Rfam family "Bacterial small subunit ribosomal RNA", at positions 28 to 507 of the family's 1533-position model. The record is from RNAcentral.
GACGAACGCUGGCGGCGUGCUUAACACAUGCAAGUCGAACGGAGAUUAUUAAUGAAGCUUGCGAUUUAAUAAUCUUAGUGGCGGACGGGUGAGUAACGCGUGGGCAACCUACCCAUAAGCGGGGGAUAACAGUUGGAAACGACUGCUAAUACCGCAUAUUCUGUGAGCAGGAAAGCAGGGGAUCGCAAGACCUUGCGCUGAUUGAGCGGCCGAUGUCAGAUUAGCUAGUUGGUGAGGUAAAGGCUCACCAAGGCGACGAAUCUGUAGCGGGUCUGAGAGGAUGAUCCGCCACACUGGAACUGAGACACGGUCCAGACUCCUACGGGAGGCAGCAGUGGGGAAUUUUGGACAAUGGGGGCAAACCCUGAUCCAGCCAUGCCGCGUGAGUGAAGAAAGGCCUCGGUUGUAAGUACGUACUUCGUUCCGGGACGGAAACGUACGACGAUGGCGUAUAACCUACGUUGCGGAGGACGGUACGGCGACGAAGAAGACACGGACGAACUAACCG